GGGUUGUGAGGUUAAGCGACUAAGCGUACACGGUGGAUGCCCUGGCAGUCAGAGGCGAUGAAGGGCGUGCUAAUCUGCGAUAAGCGCCGGUAAGGUGAUAUGAACCGUUAUAACCGGCGAUACCCGAAUGGGGAAACCCAGUGUGACUCGUCACACUAUCAUUAACUGAAUCCAUAGGUUAAUGAGGCGAACCGGGGGAACUGAAACAUCUAAGUACCCCGAGGAAAAGAAAUCAACCGAGAUUCCCCCAGUAGCGGCGAGCGAACGGGGAGGAGCCCAGAGCCUGAAUCAGCAUGUGUGUUAGUGGAAGCGUCUGGAAAGUCGCGCGAUACAGGGUGACAGCCCCGUACACAAAAGCGCAUGUGUUGUGAGCUCGAUGAGUAGGGCGGGACACGUGGUAUCCUGUCUGAAUAUGGGGGGACCAUCCUCCAAGGCUAAAUACUCCUGACUGACCGAUAGUGAACCAGUACCGUGAGGGAAAGGCGAAAAGAACCCCGGCGAGGGGAGUGAAAAAGAACCUGAAACCGUGUACGUACAAGCAGUGGGAGCCCCACCACCAAAGCAUUCUCUGGUGUUGAAGGCCCUGCAAAGCAGCAUCGCGGUGGCGGAGCGUCGUUUGCGACGCCCAACACAAAAAACAAGCGGUGAGUGCUUUGGGGUGGGGUGACUGCGUACCU
Molecule: ribosomal RNA, 677 nt
Filed under: Salmonella enterica subsp. enterica serovar Mbandaka
Lineage: Bacteria; Pseudomonadati; Pseudomonadota; Gammaproteobacteria; Enterobacterales; Enterobacteriaceae
Description: bacterial LSU rRNA
Rfam family: Bacterial large subunit ribosomal RNA
Source: RNAcentral